Mus musculus (house mouse) is the source of this 459-nucleotide long non-coding RNA. RefSeq annotates it as predicted gene, 30691. The transcript has 4 exons. The record is from RefSeq and is a predicted model, not a curated record. NCBI's taxonomy places the organism in Eukaryota, Metazoa, Chordata, Mammalia, Rodentia, Muridae.
CUCUUUAGUCUGCGUGUGUUGCCACAGCCAAAUUUCACAGAGUUGGCGGCUUCAACUACAGAAACUCAGUUCUCACACUUCAGGAGCCCAUGGAGCCCGCGAUUAAUGUACGGUUGAUUCGAAUCCUGGUCUGUACAUCGGCUAGUAAGCUGGAGCAGUACAGUCAAGUUCAGGUCCAUCCCACAGUUCUCUCCUUCUAGAGCUGGUUGCUGCCUGAAGUUAAUUCUCUUUUCCAAAACUGUCCUGGAUACAGAAAACAGUCAGAUAUGGUUUGCCCCUCAGGAAGACUCAGCACAACGAAGAAAGACAAAGAAACACGGUAUCAAUUAAAGAAGCAGCCAAAGAAUGCCGCCAGGUGGCAGUGUCUGAGACCACUGGGAUUCCCUUCCUGCAGCAAGAGCGAUAAUGGAAAAACACCACUAUGUUAAAGCUCAGCUAGAACGUGACAACCGGCUUCCG